GCGAUGCAGGCGUUCGUCUAGUCGGUGCACGUGUGCAACGAGCUGUGCAUGCAGUCGCUGCAGGUCUCGCGCGGGGUCGAGUCGCAGUGCGAGCGCGGCCGUGCCCCGCGGGGCGUCGCGAUCGCCCUCCGCGUUCUCACUCACGCCGCUGCCACACCCCUCUGCAUCCGGCUCUGAUCGUCCACAGCUGUUGAUAAAGUCCACUUGGAAUCAGCAUAAUAGCCGGCAUGGAGCGUAGCAGGCGAGCGGCGGCACAGCGCGGACAGCAGCCGCAGCCACUCGGCGCGCUCCACACAGUUGCUCGCCUGCACGAACAGCACGCGCUCGCGAUGCACUGACGGAUAAUUCGAUUCAAUUAUUUUUAUUUUUUUAGAGUAUUCAAUUUCUUUAUGUAUCGUUGAAUAUAUGUUGAAGAAGAAUUUAACUGAAUUUAAUGCCAUAUGUAAUUCUCACCUAUCUGGAAUAUGUUGUUUGCGUCAAGAGGCGCGCCUGCGGGCGGGCAGUCCACGGGCGCCACGCUCAGCACGCCGGCCAGCGCCAAGCGAUGCGCGCCCGAACCCUUGGCACCGCAGCGUGACCACGACAACUCCCCACUUGCGGGUGCGCCGAGCGCGCCCAACGCCGCCGCGGCGAGCCCGCACCGCCGCGCACGCCCUCCGACCGCUUGAUCAUAGUCCUGUAACAUUCCAGAAGACAAAAUGAAGUGCUGAUUAUAGUGGGAGAGUUAAGUGAGUGUCUUGAAUGCUUACCCCUCCUUGAGAAGAACAGGCGUCUCUUGCACGUUAUUGUUUUGCGUGUCCGAGCUUGUAGAGAUUAUUUCCAGAAACUGCUUUAUUGCUUGCACCUGAACAAAAAAUGCAUAAAGUUUUAUUAUAUCAAUAACGAAAUAAAACAUAGUUUUGAUUGUAAUUAUGUGUCCUGAAUACAUUAUAUUUUACAUGUAAUGAUUAUUUAUAGUUU
Long non-coding RNA from Vanessa atalanta (red admiral), 960 nucleotides. RefSeq lists it as uncharacterized. The record is from RefSeq and is a predicted model, not a curated record. The transcript has 4 exons. NCBI's taxonomy places the organism in Eukaryota, Metazoa, Arthropoda, Insecta, Lepidoptera, Nymphalidae.